Molecule: non-coding RNA, 150 nt
Filed under: Nomascus leucogenys (northern white-cheeked gibbon)
Lineage: Eukaryota; Metazoa; Chordata; Mammalia; Primates; Hylobatidae
Source: Rfam by way of RNAcentral
GCUGGGCGUGGUGGCGCACGCCUGUAAUUCCAGCUACUCGGGAGGCUGAGGGAGGAUAAUUGCUUGAACCCGGGAGGCAGAGGUUGCAGUGAGCCGAGAUUGCACCCCACUGCACUUCAGCCUGGGUGACAGAGCGAGACUCUGUCUCAA